RNAcentral lists this ribosomal RNA (254 nucleotides) under uncultured bacterium. Its description in RNAcentral is "partial 16S ribosomal RNA". It matches the Rfam family "Bacterial small subunit ribosomal RNA", at positions 524 to 776 of the family's 1533-position model. The record is from RNAcentral.
UACAGAGGUGGCAAGCGUUGUUCGGAUUCAUUGGGUGUAAAGGGUGCGUAGGCGGCUUGGAAAGUCAGAUGUGAAAUCCUAGAGCUUAACUCUAGAACUGCAUUUGAAACUUCCAGGCUUGAGUACGAGAGAGGUGUAGGGAAUUCCCGGUGUAAGGGUGAAAUCUGCAGAGAUCGGGAGGAACACCAGUAGCGAAGGCGCUACACUGGCUCGUAACUGACGCUGAGUGCACGAAGGCGUGGGGAGCAAACGGG